GAUUAGAUAAGCUAAGUGUAAGCUAGUGGGUUCAUACCCCAACUAUGGGGGUUUCCCCUCUAAUCA
Molecule: transfer RNA, 66 nt
Filed under: Eunoe nodosa
Lineage: Eukaryota; Metazoa; Annelida; Polychaeta; Phyllodocida; Polynoidae
Description: tRNA-Met
Rfam family: tRNA
About the family: Transfer RNA (tRNA) molecules are approximately 80 nucleotides in length.
Source: RNAcentral